GCUAAAAACCUAGCCCAAACCUCCUCCCACACACCCAAUAACCCAUUAAAAUAUUUUAAUAUUUAAGUAGGGACGACCGAAAAACUUACAAGAGCUAUAAUAAAGUACCGCAAGGGAAAGAUGAAAUAAUAAUGAAACACCACAAAAGCACAAAAAAGUAAAGUUUAUAGCUUGUACCUUUUGCAUCAUGGUUUAACUAGUUUAACUAAGCAAAAAGAUUUUUAGUUUAACCCCCCGAAACCGAAUGAGCUACUUCAAGGCAGCCUACUGAGCUAACCCGUCCCUGUUGCAAAAGGGUGGGAUGACCUUGUGAUAGAGGUGACAGACCUAACGAAUUCGGUGAUAGCUGGUUACUCAGGAAAAGAAUCUUAGUCCAACCUAAAGUUACUAAAUAAAAUAUACUACUGCUUUAGAGUAACUCAAAUAAGGUACAGCCUAUUUGACACAGGACACAACCUCAAACAAUGGCUAACUCACAACACAUUUAAACUAAGUA
Molecule: ribosomal RNA, 496 nt
Filed under: Ischnocnema guentheri (Steindachner's robber frog)
Lineage: Eukaryota; Metazoa; Chordata; Amphibia; Anura; Brachycephalidae
Description: partial 16S ribosomal RNA
Rfam family: Bacterial large subunit ribosomal RNA (bases 156-496)
Source: RNAcentral